GACGGAGGAUGCAAGCGUUAUCCGGAAUGAUUGGGCGUAAAGCGUCCGCAGGUGGCAGUUCAAGUCUGCUGUCAAAGACCGGGGCUUAACUUCGGAAAGGCAGUGGAAACUGAACAGCUAGAGUAUGGUAGGGGCAGAGGGAAUUCCCGGUGUAGCGGUGAAAUGCGUAGAGCUCGGGAAGAACAUCGGUGGCGAAGGCGGCCUGCUGGGCAGUUGCUGACACUGAGGCGCGACAGCGUGGGGAGCAAACAGG
Molecule: ribosomal RNA, 253 nt
Filed under: uncultured bacterium
Lineage: Bacteria
Description: partial 16S ribosomal RNA
Rfam family: Bacterial small subunit ribosomal RNA
Source: RNAcentral